RNAcentral lists this ribosomal RNA (484 nucleotides) under uncultured Desulfarculaceae bacterium. RNAcentral's name for it is "bacterial SSU rRNA". It matches the Rfam family "Bacterial small subunit ribosomal RNA", at positions 900 to 1382 of the family's 1533-position model. The record is from RNAcentral. Lineage: Bacteria; Pseudomonadati; Thermodesulfobacteriota; Desulfarculia; Desulfarculales; Desulfarculaceae.
CUUAAAGGAAUUGACGGGGCCCGCACAAGCGGUGGAGCAUGUGGUUUAAUUCGACGCAACGCGAAGAACCUUACCUGGGUUUGACAUCCUCUGACCGCCCUGGAAACAGGGUUUAUCCGACUUGUCGGAACAGAGUGACAGGUGCUGCAUGGCUGUCGUCAGCUCAUGUCGUGAGAUGUUGGGUUAAGUCCCGCAACGAGCGCAACCCUUGUCUCUAGUUGCCAAUAUUUAGUUAGGGACUCUAGAGAGACUGCCUCGGUUAACGGGGAGGAAGGUGGGGAUGACGUCAAGUCCUCAUGGCCUUUAUACCCAGGGCUACACACGUGCUACAAUGGGCUGUACAAAGGGUUGCUAACUCGCGAGAGUACGCUAAUCUCAAAAAGCAGUUCUCAGUUCGGAUUGGAGUCUGCAACUCGACUCCAUGAAGUUGGAAUCGCUAGUAAUCGUGGAUCAGCACGCCGCGGUGAAUACGUUCCCGGGCCUU